AAGCGGUACGUGAGCUGGGUUCAGACCGGCGCGAGCCAGGUUGGUCCCUACCUACUGUGGGCGGAGGAGUCUUGAGCGAGUCUAACCUUAGUACGAGAGGAUUGGGUUGGACGGACCUCUGGUGUUCCUGUUGGGCCGCCAGGCCCAGCGCAGGGUAGCUACGUCCGGAAAGGAUAAGCGCUGAAAGCAUAUAAGCGCGAAGCCCUUCGCAAGAUAAGGACUCCCUAUCAGGACCGUGGAAGACUACCACGUCGAUAGGCCGGGUGUGUAAACUCCGAGAGGAGAAAGCUAACCGGUACUAAUCAUCCGAUUGGCUUGACCGC
RNAcentral lists this ribosomal RNA (323 nucleotides) under Planctomycetota bacterium. RNAcentral's name for it is "Planctomycetes bacterium (activated sludge metagenome) partial 23S ribosomal RNA". It matches the Rfam family "Bacterial large subunit ribosomal RNA", at positions 2591 to 2925 of the family's 2925-position model. Lineage: Bacteria; Pseudomonadati; Planctomycetota. The record is from RNAcentral.